Nelumbo nucifera (sacred lotus) is the source of this 855-nucleotide non-coding RNA. NCBI's taxonomy places the organism in Eukaryota, Viridiplantae, Streptophyta, Magnoliopsida, Proteales, Nelumbonaceae. The record is from RefSeq and is a predicted model, not a curated record.
UCAUCCUCUCUCUCAAGGCUUUCAUCUGGGAGAUUACAGACAUACGCGAAUUCUCAUCCAACGCCCUUCUCAUUCUCUAACCAAUUCAUGACUUCUUCUUUCUCCGACCUUCUCGCCGGUGACGUCGAUAAAGGGCUUUCUGAUCAUUUCGCCAAUAGAACUGGAGCCAGUGUUCCAGAGUUCAAGUCGAUUCCUCCUCCUUCACUGCCCAUCUUUCCUCCUCCUGUCUCUCCUUCUUCUUACUUCGCUAUUCCACCUGGCUUGAGCCCCCCCGGCCUCUUGGAUUCACCUGUCCUCCUCUCCGCUUCUAAUCAGCUUCUGCAGUCUCCUACGAGGCUACGACUGUGACACUUCCCUCUCAAGCGUUCAAUUGGAAGAGUAAUUCUGUAAACUACCAGAAAGGUGUCAAGAAGGAAGAGAAAAACUUGUCGGAUUUCUCUUUCCAACCCCAAACAAGGCCCGCUAUGGGCUCGGUAUCCAUGUUUGAGUCUUCUAUCACUACGAUUUCUAAGGACUAGAACAAGAGUGGAAUUUUCAACCCACCAAGCCGAUAUCUCAUCCGUGAAGCCCAUGGUGAAAUCUGAAUAUGCUCCGAUGCACUUCUCUCAUGAGGUUUCCAGCAUCCAAGCCAACAGCACCCAGAGCAACACGGUGGAUUCCAGUCGAAUCAUAAUCAGUACUCUCAACCUUUCAGGGAGCAAAGGAGAUUGGAUGAUGGUUACAAUUGGAGAAAACAUGGGCAAAAACAGGUGAAAGGAAGCGAGAAUCCAUGUAGCUAUUACAAGUGCUGUUCGUGUAUAAUGAGGUGGGAAGAUGAACAGUUUUUUUUUUUUCCAAUUAUCCGAAUAGUUAUUA